UAGGGAAUUUUCGUCAAUGGGGGCAACCCUGAACGAGCAAUGCCGCGUGAGCGAAGAAGGUCUUCGGAUUGUAAAGCUCUGUUGCCGGGGAAAAAGGAAGGAAAGAGGAAAU
Molecule: ribosomal RNA, 112 nt
Filed under: uncultured bacterium
Lineage: Bacteria
Description: partial 16S ribosomal RNA
Rfam family: Bacterial small subunit ribosomal RNA
Source: RNAcentral